RNAcentral lists this long non-coding RNA (202 nucleotides) under Elaeis guineensis (African oil palm). RNAcentral's name for it is "long non-coding RNA (EGUI_LNC033826)". The record is from RNAcentral. Lineage: Eukaryota; Viridiplantae; Streptophyta; Magnoliopsida; Arecales; Arecaceae.
CCCACUCUCCUCCUCCUUUUAUAACAACAUCAAACGUCUUAUCCAAAAGAAAAGAUAAAGAUGAGUAAUUGCACAUUUGAAUUCAAAUCAAAUUUUGAAUUCAAAUGGACACCAACUCAUCCCUUAUCCACUAAAGACGUGAGGCGUGGCUUAAAUUGUGCAUGGAGUGAUUUCAUGAGAAACCUUUUCUCAUGUAAUAAAU